AGAGAUUCUCUAGUGGUCAAUGCAUGGACCGCGGUAGCAUGCCUCAUCAUCACUAGAGAAGGCGACUCAAGCAGAGAAGAGAGGAGAACCAAUUCAUAUUUGGACCUGAGUUGGUUGGUAGCCCUACUUGGUGACCAACCACCACACUAGUGAGUUUUUACACUUUUGUUGUUGAGUGAUAAAAGCAAUAAUAACAUAGAUUUAAACUAAUUCUCCAUUAGUUGAGGAGUAGUUUUUGCAUAGAGAGCAGGUUUUACAUAUAUAUUUGACUUUCCGUUGAACGAUUUAUUGUGAAGGUCACUGGCUAAUACAAUAACAAUUAUUUUUCCAUCAUACCAAUUUACAAAAAAAUCCCUCUAUUUUCUUGAAUCAAUCCUAGUCCUGUCACCCUCAC
Molecule: long non-coding RNA, 394 nt
Filed under: Setaria viridis
Lineage: Eukaryota; Viridiplantae; Streptophyta; Magnoliopsida; Poales; Poaceae
Description: long non-coding RNA (SVIR_LNC006409)
Source: RNAcentral